RNAcentral lists this long non-coding RNA (2901 nucleotides) under Marmota monax (woodchuck). Lineage: Eukaryota; Metazoa; Chordata; Mammalia; Rodentia; Sciuridae. The record is from RNAcentral.
CCCGGCAGGCCCAGGAGUGCCUCUGGGAGCUGCAGGUGAGGUGUGGGGGCUGGCAGCUCCCAGGGGAAAUCAGUGACUAUCACCUUGAGGAAUGAGGAGCCUGAGGCUAUGGCCAAAACCACAAUCAGGGAAGAAGUGUCAUUUGAGAUUUGAGAAAAUGUCACAAGGCUUGGCAACUAGGUGUUAUUCAGGGUCUCAGGACCUGGGUGUGGCUGUACCAGACUCAAAGGACUUCUUCAGUACAUCCCAUCACUCCCCACAGGAGAUCACCUGGAGGGUGCUGGCCUCUGCACUCCCUGUGUCUUCCUGAAAGCCCCUGGCCAGCCAGGAGAGAGCUGCCCAGGAGCGGAGGUGCAGACUAGGUAGGCGAGCCUUCCUCGGCACUGCCCAGGUGCUGUGCUCAGGGACACCCCCUGGGAGGUGUCUGGGAAGUGGCCAGGCCUCUGAGGGUCCCAGGUGUCUCUUCUGUCUCCUGCAUUAUAAACAACGAGGUUUUUCACAUCUCUUCCUGCCCGUCAUGUAUCGUCAACAGGGGGCUCCAGGAGGGGGACCAGGGCUGAGUGGCCCCCCCCAGGGACCUACAGCAAGGCAGCUCGUGGAAGCAUCACCCCACUCCAUACAGACCUCCUGCCCACGCUGCCUCUCUUGCCAACAGAAGCCUAGUCUCAACCAGGCUACAGCAUGGCUGGCCAUAAUGGACCCUCAAUGAUCCCAGCAGCCCCCGCAUCUUUGCUCUGACCCUCCAGCCCUGGCCAGUGGCCCACAGGUAGCCUCCGGGUGCCACGACUAGCAUGGCCAAACUAGCAGGUUCCUGCGAGGGGCAAUGGGAGGUUAGAGAAAUAGAGACAGGUUGUGAAGACAACAUCUGGGAUUGGUGGAGUGCUGCUUUGGUGGAGAAGCAGGUCUCCGGAAUCACACCAGCAAUCUUUAUAUAUAUAUAUGUCUCUAAAUCAGAUUGAAGACUAUGCAAGCAUUAUUCUUUCAUGAAAGUUAGAGUCAGCAACAGGAUGCGACUGUUUCCCCAGUUACGUUCUGCAGUUGCAAUGUGCAGUGUUAGGAGCUUUGUGCAGCUCUCGAGAGUCCAAGAGCAGCAGAGCUGGGGAGACGCUGUGGUGGUCUAACAGGGAUUUCCCUCCUUCCCAGGAGCUGUGGGCCUGAGAGCAAGGUCGAGGCCGACAAGACUCCAGCACAGAGCCCCCUCGUGGAGGGCUUUACCAUAGCAACUUGCAUCUGUGCACAGAAACUUUCCCAGGCACCACGCAUGCCACAGCCAUGAAGUCAUCAAGAACCCCAAUCUCAGACACUUGGUCUCCCAUUCACUGUCACUGCUCCCCACAUCUGGGAAAACGCGUUCUUACACAUCCUUCCGUUCCUGCAUGGUCAGCCUGUUGGGGCCCACUUGGAUUCUGCAUCAGAUCUUAAAGUCAGGAUGUUGGCCUCACUUGUGGCUUUUACCAUGUCCCUCACUGAGAGCCAGCACGCUCCUCUUCCGUAACUUGAGAAGACAGGGCGAACUUGGAACACCCCCUCCAGGCCUCUGAUGCCUGGAACAGGUCAACAGCUUCCUCUGGGUUCCUGUCACCUGCAGCUGAAUGCACUUCCCACAGCACAGGGACUUCUCCUGAGGAUUCCAGGGCUCUCGUGGGACCUCCUGUCGCAGCUACUCCUGCCUAGCGCCUGGGCACGUCAUCGACCCCCUUCAUGCGCUUCGAAGAAAGGUUCAGCCCCCUGCUCUGGGCUUUGCCCCCCACCCUCCCGGCCACACUCAUCUGUGUCUGCCGCUGCUCAGUCUGUGGUGAUUGGUCACAUGGCAGUAGGACACGGUCACACCCAGAAGAGCCUCAGGUGCUGUGAGAGUUGUGGUGCCACAGUCACUGUCACAGCUUUCAAGGCCACCUGCCACCCCAGGAGGCUGAGGGGUGGGGGGAUGCCAGCUGUCACAGAGCCUGAAAGCUGCUCGUGGUUCCCCCGGGGCCCUUCAGCUGCCCUGUGGUGUGUCCAUGUCCUGCUGUGACAGAUCAGGACGGACUGAGCAGCCGCAGCAAACAUGCCUGCUCCAGAGCCCUGCAGACUGCUGGCGGAGUCGCUUGGGGCUGUGGUCCCCUCUGGCAGGUCCCUGAGGUGCAGGACCAACCCUCGGCCCCUGCAGGCGCCUGAUGUUCCUGGCAUGGGGUCCUCUCCCAGUGCGGCAGUUGGCUAGGAAGAGAGCGCCUGCCACUGCCGUCUCUGCCUCUAGACUGCCUUUACUGUGAGGAAGUCCACCUGGUUUUACAAUCAACCAUCUCAGCCAUUUUCAGGGGUACAGCAACAUUAAGCAAGCACAGGCUGGUGUGUGACCGUCACCACCAUCGACCUCCAGACCCCCCAUCCUGAGAAAGGACCCCUGCAGCACUGAAUACCAGUUCCCGUGCCCCUCCCCCAGCCCUGGGCACCCAGCCUUUUGCUCUCUGUCUCUGUGACCUCAGUCUCUGCAGGACCUCACCUCAGUGGAAUCUCAGGGGUUUCCCUUCUGUGACUGGCAUAUAGACCCUUCCUUAAAGAGCUCACCUAUCUGGGCCUAGUGACCGUGCCCACCAUGACUCCCUCCUGAUCAACUUAGAGUCAACUUAGGUCAUAAUUACAUCUGCAAAAUCCUCUACCUUGACAUGAAUGUAACCUAAGAACAGGGUGACAGCCCAUCAUUCUCACAGGUCCACUUACACUCGAGGGGAGGGGCUCCACGGGGAGGAACACUGCCUGCCAUGCAGGCCUCUGUGUGAGCAAGCUUUCUGUGCCUGUAACACAACACCUGAGAGAAUCUGCUUAUCAAAGGAAAAGGUUUGUCUCAGCUCACAGUUUCCGAGGUCCUCUUCGGUAUCAGUCGGCCCAUGACUUUGGGCCUGUGGGGAGAUAGCCCAUGUG